This 3954-nucleotide long non-coding RNA is filed under the name Lathyrus oleraceus (garden pea). RNAcentral describes it as "Pisum sativum (pea) long non-coding RNA (PSAT_LNC034328)". The record is from RNAcentral. Lineage: Eukaryota; Viridiplantae; Streptophyta; Magnoliopsida; Fabales; Fabaceae.
AACGUAACAUUUCAACUCAUUCUUUCUCUCUCUUCAAUCUUACGCUCAACAUUUCUCUCUCUUCAACCUUACACUCAUAAGGAGCUUUACAGAAACCCUAAAAAAUUCUUCUCUCUUGGAGAAGACGACCGGAGGCGGCGGCUCACAGCGGAGCCUCCGUCCAUCUCCGGUAACCCUACCCAAAACGUGACCUAAACCACUACCUACAACCUCCCGAGUUCGAAUCCGGACUCUGAAAUCCCUAAACCAAACUCAAGGCGUUUGCAUGUUGCGAUAGCGAAAUAAAAGGGGUUCGUUAUAUUUACCACGGCGAAGGAGGUGAGUGGUGGCUUCAGGCGAAGAAGGAGCGCUUUGAUCCGAGUCCGUCGUCAACAACCCGUCGCAGUUUCGGAUAAGUUUUCUUCCUCAACCUGCUUCUUUGUCUGUUUUCGUGAAAGUUUUUUAGAUUUUCUCUGGGAUUUCAAGAAAAGUCUUUCUGUUUCUCUUUUAGGGUCUUUUUGAGAUAUAUUGCUGCUAUGUAUUCUGGGUUUGAAAGAUAUUGCUCUGUUGUCCUGUGUUCGAUUUUUAGGUUUUUUAGAAAAAUUGUUGUGCUCUUGAUGUGUGAAAAAUUGCUCUGUUCUCGUGUGGUUUUUUUUUUUUUUGUUAACUUCUCAUCAUCUUCUUUAUGAAGAAAAUCUUAAGUCUUAAAAACUCCUUUUUUGUUAUACCUUUUUCUUCCAGAUUACAUGGGAUUCCAUUUGUAGAUUUGUUACUGUUUUAAGCUAUUUUCAAAGUGCUUUUUUGAGUGUUCAUGUUAACCUGCUGGGUAAAGUUUCAAACUGAGUAAUUUAUUUAGUUAUUUUUCAGUUUUUUAAGCGCUUUUGAAAAGUGCUUUUUUAAUUAAGCUGUUUUUCCUCUUUGCAGGUUACAGGAAUGAAGUGACCCCUAUUGAAGGGUGAAGUCUGCGUCAGCCCUAUUGAGGAGGGGGUUGGAUUUUAAGGUGCUUUGACCUAGACGACGGUCUUGGGCGCUGGCUUUUGAGAGUUCUAUUUCCAAACUGCUGGAUUUUCAGCAGCUUUUAAUUUUUCAAUUUUAGUCAUCAAGAUGUAACUUUGGACCCUUUGGAUAAUUGUAUUAAUUUCCAAACUGCUGGAUUUUCAGCAGCUUUUAAUUUUUCAAUUUUAGUCAUCAAGAUGUAACUUUGGACCCUUUGGAUAAUUGUAUUAACUUUGGAAUUUAUUUGUGAUAUCCUAGACCAAAAAAGAAUUUAUGUAAUUAAUCUCUUUUCAAACAUUUAAACUUUAUUUUAAUAUUUCAAUUAGGAACUUGUUAAUCAAUUAAAUCAUUUUGAACUUUGUCCUCUUAUUUCAAUUGGCAACCUACUUGGGCCACCAUGAACAUCCAACCAAAAAUUGUUUCUAGCAUAUUAUCAUUUAAUCAAAAUCCAUCUAUGAUCAGAAAUUAAAAAUGAGGCAUGUCAAUGCAAUUUCAAUUUUUAAAAACAACACACUUUUAACUUAGGUACAGAGAAACCAAAUAUAGUGACUUAAUUUAAAAACCACACAAUUCUAACCUAGGUACAAAGAAACCAAAUAUAGUGAUUUAAUUUAAAAAACAACACAAUUCUAACUUAGGUACAAAGAAACCAAAUGUAGUGAUUUAAUUUAAAAACAACACAAUUCUAACUUAGAUAAAUAUAGUGAUUUUAAAAAACAACACAAUUCUAACUUAGAUACAAAGAAACCAAAUAUAGUGAUUUAAUUUAAAAACAACACAAUUCUAACUUAAAAACAAAGAAACCAAAUAUAGUGAUUUAAUUUAAAAACAACACAAUUCUAACUUAAAAAAAAAACAAAUUUAAUUUAGGAACCUAUGAAAGACUUAGAACUUGGCAUAAAUAUUUGGGGUGUGUAAAUCGACUAAUAAAUAGUGAUCAUAGAAAUAAUAACAUGGCUCUUAAUACUUACUAAUAAGAAAAUAGGUUUUGGAUUAGUAAUGUAAAAAGAUUCAAACCACAUUUUAGAUUAUGAACACACUUAUGCAAAAAUACUUACUAAUAAGAAAAUAGGUUUUGGAUUAGUAAUGUAAAAAGAUUCAAACCACAUUUUAGAUUAUGAACACACUUAUGCAAAUGGGCCUUUGAAACAAAGAGAUCUCAUGGGUAAACCACAAGUGGCCGGACAAAAUUGGGGUAUGACAGUAUUUCCUCGCAUGCUUCCUAACUUCUCAUCCUACGACUCAUCAAUCUCAUGCACACCAUAGGAUGAGAAGUUAAUGAAAUGAAGAACUUAAAAAUGAUAAUUUUCAAAAUGAAAACUAAAAAUUCACACAAACAGGGUCCCACCAGGUGUGCCAAUUUGUUUACCGGUGAAUUUGGUAACCAAAACAAGUUUCUAUUAAUACUUAAAGGAUCAAACUCGAAAAUAUUCUGGAACAUAUUUGUGUGCAUUAUGACUUUCGAACAUAUUGCUAUUAAGAUCGAAAUGCAGUGUUUAAGAGAUAAUGAUCUGAACAUGAGUAAAAUUGAAAAGUCAAAGCGUUGAAAAUAAAGUGACUAGAGUCGAAACGUGAAGGCUUUAAAAGUAAAAUGAAAGAAAGAAACUUAAAGGCAGGAAUGACUUGGAUACAAAAUAUUUGAAAUUUAUAAAUGUGGAAUGCAUACAUAUUUCCUCACUUGUUUCUCAAUACACAGAUAUUUUGAGUUUGUAGGAUUUUUAGUACAAUUGCGGACCCUUACAACAUAAGCAAACGUCUACUUAUAUACUAGUCUAAAAUAACUACACACAACAGUCGACUAGACACAUCACGCCAUGUUUCGCCUCCAUGCAAUAAUUAUCUUCGACAGACUUCCACGUGUCUCUGAAUAACCAUAUGGUUCUAUCCAAAUCUGCCUCAUUCGACUGAUCAAAAUAACCAACUCAAAUAUUGGAAAUUUUACUAAGUUCAAAUUCCAUUCGACAAGUCACCUUUGACGGGUCAAAAUGUAUCAACUCAGCAUAUGGUUUCGACGGACCAUGUUUAACUUCAAACCUCACCAUGGCAUGUCCUUAUGUCUUACUUACCAUUAAUAUACAUGUCAAAAAUUCGAGGUAACAACAUGUAAAAAGAAACUAUAGGACUUUGUCCUUACCAAAGAUCUCUUUCCUCUCUGCAUGAGUAUCAAUUCACUUCUUCCUCAACUCGGAAGAAGGAACCUCACUGGGAACAAACCUCUCAGAGGCACCAACUGAAUUAACAACUACAUAUGGAGGCAUCAAUUGAAUUGGUGACACAAACCUAACAUAAAGUAGUGAGUCAUAAAACUUAAUUAGAAAAAAUAAUAGAACUUAAAGUAAGAAAAAGAAGAAAACAAAAUAUAGAGCAAGAAAAAUCGGAAUAUAAUCAAAACAAAGAAUGCAACCUUUUGACAAAAUACACAACACUUUUUUAUAUAAUUUGGAAUACUAAUUAACCAUUAACCAGUUUACAUAGCCAACAAGAAGCAACAAACAAGAUGCAGGAGAUGCACAACAGUUCAACACCAAUCUCCAAAGCAACAAACAACUCAUACAAAUAUUACAAUUAUUCAGAUACAUAGUUUUUGUUGCAACUCUCAAACAAACUGAUCAAGAUACUCUUCAACAGUAGUGUACUUAACAUCCGGGUACAACUCAAAAGCCUCAACCCCAAAAGAUGGUUCAAUCACAAAGUUGGUGUGAUCGCCCUUCACAAAUACAGAGUGGUUAAUUGAUAAUAUCACAUUGAUUGGAAGAGGUGCCUCUUCAAUAUCCUUGAGAAGUUUAUCUUCUGGAAUAUAACUUUUCUCCACAGUCUUCCCAAUCUUCUUCUAAUACAGAGUGGUUAAUUGAUAAUAUCACAUUGAUUGGAAGAGGUGCCUCUUCAAUAUCCUUGAGAAGUUUAUCUUCUGGAAUAUAACUUUUCUCCACAGUCUUCCCAAUCUUCUUCUCCCACAAUGCGACAAGCUCGUUGAAUGAG